RNAcentral lists this ribosomal RNA (479 nucleotides) under Hydrophis parviceps. RNAcentral's name for it is "partial 16S ribosomal RNA". It matches the Rfam family "Bacterial large subunit ribosomal RNA", at positions 1858 to 2601 of the family's 2925-position model. The record is from RNAcentral. Lineage: Eukaryota; Metazoa; Chordata; Lepidosauria; Squamata; Elapidae.
CCUGCCCAGUGAAUAAUUAAACGGCCGCGGUACCCUAACCGUGCAAAGGUAGCGUAAUCAUUUGUCUAUUAAUUGUAGACCCGUAUGAAAGGCAUAAUGAGGGUUUAACUGUCUCUUUUAGUAAAUCAAUUAAACUGAUCUCCUAGUCCAAAAGCUAGGAUACCAACAUAAGACCAGAAGACCCUGUGAAACUUUAACUAAAAUAUUAAAGCCUAUAAUAACUACUUUAGGUUGGGGCGACCUUGGAAAAUAAAAGAACUUCCACACACAUAUUAUAUAAUAAUAUAUAACCGGCCAACAAGCCUACAACGACCCAGCACAGCUGACAAUUGAACCAAGCUACUCCAGGGAUAACAGCGCUAUCUUCUUCAAGAGCCCAUAUCAAAAAGAAGGUUUACGACCUCGAUGUUGGAUCAGGACAUCCUAAUGGUGCAACCGCUAUUAAGGGUUCGUUUGUUCAACGAUUAAUAGUCCUACGU